CUUGGCUAGCUGCAUUUACCGCCUUUGCAGCAUCUUCAGGAGCGCUUUUGUGUCUGUCUUGUCUUCUGUGUUUUACUGUUAUGUCCAUGCCAGGGCAGAAGUAAAUUUUCAGGGGUGAAGAUGCUGUUUACCUUGACCAGCUAAGACUACAGAUUGUAGAUGAAGUCGAGAAAAGUGAAAAGAAUCCUGAUUACAAAGCUGAUGCUCACAACUUUGGCCUUGCAAUGCAAAGAGAUCAUCAAUGAUGACCUACCAGUAGGUCAGAUCCUGGAUUGCUGGCCUACUCUGAAAUCCCAGUCCCAGAUCUGUGCAGAAUUCCACAGGAUUACAAACCUCCACCUGAAGAACCACUUUUAUGCUGUUGGACCAACAUGCUCCCCGGCUCCAGAGCUUAUUCAGAAAGAAAGCUGUUUGCACAGGGAACGUGUCUGAUGUCCUGUCUCAGCUCUUCAGAAGCUAUAAUCUCCAGGAACAAGCUGAUAUCCAUGCCCAAAGUGCUGGUGUGCUUCAUGCCCUCUCUGCCUAUUUGUACGAAGACACCUCUACCUUCAUCAAAACAUGGGAUAUGAUGCAUUCUGAUAGACCAGAUAUUAGUGAAGUGCCACUUGGACUCCUCCUGAUCAGAGCCAAUUCCAGCGAUGCAACAUUCUUCUGCCCUGAGAAGACUGCAG
Long non-coding RNA from Maylandia zebra (zebra mbuna), 671 nucleotides. RefSeq lists it as uncharacterized. The record is from RefSeq and is a predicted model, not a curated record. NCBI's taxonomy places the organism in Eukaryota, Metazoa, Chordata, Actinopteri, Cichliformes, Cichlidae.